This 250-nucleotide ribosomal RNA is filed under the name uncultured bacterium. RNAcentral describes it as "partial 16S ribosomal RNA". It matches the Rfam family "Bacterial small subunit ribosomal RNA", at positions 524 to 773 of the family's 1533-position model. The record is from RNAcentral.
UACUAGGGGAGCAAGCGUUGUCCGGAUUUAUUGGGCGUAAAGGGCUCGUAGGUGGGCUAGUAAGUCAAAAUUGAAAUCCAAUGGCUUAACCAUUGUCACGGUUUUGAUACUGCUAGUCUUGAGUGAGAUAGAGGUAAGCGGAAUUCCUGGUGUAGCGGUGAAAUGCGUAGAUAUCAGGAGGAACGCCAAAGGAGAAGUCAGCUUACUGGAUCUAUACUGACACUGAGGAGCGAAAGCGUGGGUAGCAAAC